UACGAAGGGGGCUAGCGUUGCUCGGAAUCACUGGGCGUAAAGGGUGCGUAGGCGGGUCUUUAAGUCAGGGGUGAAAUCCCGGAGCUCAACUCCAGAACUGCCUUCGAUACUGGAGAGCUUGAGUCCGGGAGAGGUGAGUGGAACUGCGAGUGUAGAGGUGAAAUUCGUAGAUAUUCGCAAGAACACCAGUGGCGAAGGCGGCUCACUGGCCCGGUACUGACGCUGAGGUGCGAAAGCGUGGGAGCAAACAGG
RNAcentral lists this ribosomal RNA (252 nucleotides) under uncultured bacterium. RNAcentral describes it as "partial 16S ribosomal RNA". It matches the Rfam family "Bacterial small subunit ribosomal RNA", at positions 524 to 776 of the family's 1533-position model. The record is from RNAcentral.